RNAcentral lists this ribosomal RNA (465 nucleotides) under uncultured bacterium. RNAcentral's name for it is "partial 16S ribosomal RNA". It matches the Rfam family "Bacterial small subunit ribosomal RNA", at positions 338 to 795 of the family's 1533-position model. The record is from RNAcentral.
CCUACGGGCGGCAGCAGUGGGGAAUAUUGCGCAAUGGGCGCAAGCCUGACGCAGCGACGCCGCGUGAGGGAUGAAGGUCUUCGGAUCGGAAACCUCUGUCAGCAGGGAAGAACGGUCACUGUGCUAAUCAGCAGUGAAUUGACGGUACCUGCAAAGGAAGCACCGGCUAACUCCGUGCCAGCAGCCGCGGUAAUACGGAGGGUGCGGGCGUUAAUCGGAAUUACUGGGCGUAAGGCGCUCGUAGGCGGUAUGUCAAGUCAAGGGUGAAAUCCCCGCGCUCAACGGGGGAACUGCCUUUGAAACUGGCAAACUGGAGUGUGUGAGAGGAUAGUGGAAUUCCAGGUGUAGGAGUGAAAUCCGUAGAUAUCUGGAGGAACAUCAGUGGCGAAGGCGACUAUCUGGCACAUAACUGACGCUGAGGAGCGAAAGCGUGGGUAGCAAACAGUAUUAGAUACCCGGGUAGUC